AUACGUAGGUGGCAAGCGUUGUCCGGAAUUAUUGGGCGUAAAGCGCAUGUAGGCGGUGCCUUAAGUCUGUCGUGAAACUGCGGGGCCUAACCCCGUAUGGCGAUGGAAACUGUGGCACUUGAGGGCAGGAGAGGAAAGGGGAACUCCCAGUGUAGCGGUGAAAUGCGUAGAUAUUGGGAAGAACACCGGUGGCGAAGGCGCCUUUCUGGACUGUGUCUGACGCUGAGAUGCGAAAGCCAGGGUAGCGAACGGGAUUAGAUACCCCGGUAGUCCUGGCCGUAAACGAUGGGUACUAGGUGUGGGAGGUAUCGACCCCUUCCGUGCCGGAGUUAACGCAAUAAGUACCCCGCCUGGGGAGUACGGCCGCAAGGCUUAAACUCAAAUGAAUUGACGGGG
Molecule: ribosomal RNA, 396 nt
Filed under: uncultured bacterium
Lineage: Bacteria
Description: partial 16S ribosomal RNA
Rfam family: Bacterial small subunit ribosomal RNA
Source: RNAcentral